RNAcentral lists this ribosomal RNA (119 nucleotides) under Anolis carolinensis (green anole). The record is from RNAcentral. Lineage: Eukaryota; Metazoa; Chordata; Lepidosauria; Squamata; Anolidae.
UCUUCCUGACAGAUUCCCUAAAGCACCAGAUCCUGUCUGAUCUUGGAAGUUAAGGAGGGCCAGCCCUGUUUAGUACUUAGAUGGGAGACGGCCAGUGGAAAUACCAGGUGCUGUAGGCU